RNAcentral lists this ribosomal RNA (253 nucleotides) under uncultured bacterium. RNAcentral's name for it is "partial 16S ribosomal RNA". It matches the Rfam family "Bacterial small subunit ribosomal RNA", at positions 524 to 776 of the family's 1533-position model. The record is from RNAcentral.
UACGUAGGGGGCAAGCGUUGUCCGGAAUCAUUGGGCGUAAAGAGCGUGUAGGCGGCCUGAUAAGUCGGUUGUGAAAGUCAAGGGCUCAACCCUUGAAUGCCGACCGAUACUGUCAGGCUAGAGUCCGGAAGAGGCGAGUGGAAUUCCUGGUGUAGCGGUGAAAUGCGCAGAUAUCGGGAGGAACACCAAUGGCGAAGGCAGCUCGCUGGGACGGUACUGACGCUGAGACGCGAAAGCGUGGGGAGCAAACAGG